UUUAAACCCUGAGAUGAAGUCCGGGUCCACGGAAACAGAGAAACUCGAAGGGGAGGGCCCUCCCAGAAGACGGCCGUGCACGGGCUUGAAAAGGACAAUAGCCCUCUCCUCGUUCUCCGAGGCGGAGGCGGCGGCGGCGGCGGCGGCGGCGGCGGAGGCGGAGGCGGAGGCGGAGGAUGAGGCCGAUUCCGCCGGCAAUUCCUCGAUCACCGGGCCGCUGCUCCGGUUCUGCAGGUAGGGCAUCGCGAUUUCAGGUUCAUCGUCCUCCAUUAUAGGCGGUAGCUCCGCGUCCUAUCACACAACA
Molecule: long non-coding RNA, 304 nt
Filed under: Eucalyptus grandis
Lineage: Eukaryota; Viridiplantae; Streptophyta; Magnoliopsida; Myrtales; Myrtaceae
Description: long non-coding RNA (EGRA_LNC001620)
Source: RNAcentral